UCCCCCAGGUUAGCGCGGACGGAGCGGCGAAGGCGGAGGUGAGCGCGGGCGCCGGGGGGGCCGGGGGGGUCGCGGGGGUCGCCCAGCGCGUCGUUCACGCUCCCUUUUCUCUCCGCAGCCCAAGCGGCGCUCCGCGAGGCUGUCGGCCAAGCCCGCCCCUGCCAAGGUGGACGCGAAGCCGAAGAAGGCCGCGGGAAAGGAUAAACCGUCAGACAAAAAAGUGCAAACCAAAGGGAAGAGGGGAGCAAAGGGCAAACAGGCUGAGGUGGCUGACCAGCAGACCACAGACGUGCCUGCAGAAAACGGAGAGGCUGAGAACCAGAGUCCAGCCUCUGAAGUUGAAGAGAAAGAAGCCAAGUCCGACUAACCAUCCAUCGUGUCUGUCAGUGUCCCCGCCUCCCUUCUUGUACAAUCCAGAGGAAUAUUUUUAUCAACUAUUUUGUAAAUGCGAGUUUUUUAGUAGCUCUAGAAACAUUUUUAAAAGGUGGGAGGAAGUCCCGCCUCAUCCCAUUUUUUAAGUGUAAAUGAUUUUUUUAAGAGGUUAAAUCACUUGCUGGUUGUUUAUUUUUUGGUACAACCAGAAAAGAGCAGGAUACUGAAUCAGGAGAGGCUGUGAGUGUCUCGGGGGUCACCAUAACAUUCCGUAGAGGGGGCUAGUUUUAUAUCCUACAACACAAAGCAUACUUGGAGUCUUGGCCGUGCAUUUGUGUCUGGAAUAUUUUCAGUUAUUUCUGGUCUCGUGUUUCUAGUAGAACUGUAUCCUAAAAACCACUCCUCGGUCCUUGCCCUGUCAGAACUGUCUCUGGUCACGGCAGUCCAUUUUCCUAACAAUUGUGAUAAUGUGCUGUGAAAGAUUGAAAUUUUGAAUAUGUACUGUAUGUGGCAUAAAAUUGUGAGUCAGUGGAA
Molecule: long non-coding RNA, 906 nt
Organism: Peromyscus eremicus (cactus mouse)
Lineage: Eukaryota; Metazoa; Chordata; Mammalia; Rodentia; Cricetidae
Exons: 4
Source: RefSeq, a predicted model, not a curated record